RNAcentral lists this ribosomal RNA (633 nucleotides) under uncultured bacterium. RNAcentral's name for it is "bacterial SSU rRNA". It matches the Rfam family "Bacterial small subunit ribosomal RNA", at positions 8 to 677 of the family's 1533-position model. The record is from RNAcentral.
AGACUUUGAUUAUGGCUCAGAACGAACGCUGGCGGCAGGCCUAACACAUGCAAGUCGGACGAGAAGGUUCCUUCGGGAACUGGAGAGUGGCGCACGGGUGAGUAACGCGUGGGGACCUACCUCUUAGUGGGGGAUAACGGUUGGAAACGACCGCUAAUACCGCAUACGCCCUUCGGGGGAAAGAUUUAUCGCUAAGAGAUGGACCCGCGUUGGAUUAGAUAGUUGGUGAGGUAACGGCUCACCAAGUCAGCGAUCCAUAGCUGGUUUGAGAGGAUGAUCAGCCACACUGGGACUGAGACACGGCCCAGACUCCUACGGGAGGCAGCAGUGGGGAAUAUUGGACAAUGGGGGCAACCCUGAUCCAGCCAUGCCGCGUGAGUGAAGAAGGCCUUCGGGUUGUAAAGCUCUUUCAGAUGCGAAGAUGAUGACGGUAACAUCAGAAGAAGCCCCGGCUAAUUUCGUGCCAGCAGCCGCGGUAAUACGAAAGGGGCUAGCGUUGUUCGGAUUUACUGGGCGUAAAGGGCACGCAGGCGGUCUUGCCAGUCAGGGGUGAAAGCCCGGGGCUCAACCUCGGAACUGCCUCUGAUACUGCAAGACUUGAGACUAGGAGAGGGUGGUGGAAUUCCCAGUGUA